CGUGAAGUUCUCCGAGAUUUCUGAGGCACCUUGCCAAGUUUUCCCUCGCCUGUUCAGGGGGGUGUUUGACAGGCAGGAUUUCAAAUACUUCGGGUUCCAGAAGGUUUCGAAACCACAUCGAAGGAAAGUUUCGACCGAUUGGCACCGUUCCGAACUCGAUUCAGCCUUUGAUCCUUAUGGAGCCAUGGCGACUUUUUAAAGGGACGUGCUUGCUUCUGAAAUCUUGAGUCACCCUAUGCCCGACACACGAGCGCACCCUACUCGGCGUGCCCCUACAUAUUAAUAUUAUUUAUAGACGCCGAGAGAAGCGAAUAAAAACCAUAAGUCGGCUAGGAAAUCAGUGCGAAUACAGAGCAGAGGCAGUAAAACGUCACCGUUUUGCUCGAA
Drosophila yakuba is the source of this 387-nucleotide long non-coding RNA. RefSeq lists it as uncharacterized. Lineage: Eukaryota; Metazoa; Arthropoda; Insecta; Diptera; Drosophilidae. The transcript is spliced from 2 exons. The record is from RefSeq and is a predicted model, not a curated record.